UGUUCGGUACCGGCGAUAUUUUGGAACGACACGGGAUAUCCUUCAAGUUGUAAUCAAACGGUAGAAAAACACGAAGGAACGGAUUGUUCCGGUCAAAGCGGAUUGUUCUGGAUUGUUCUGAAAUAACCCAUUAAAAAUCAUUCCUAGAAGAACUGAGAACAACUUUAUUCUCCUCUUUAUUUUAUUAAAUAAAUAAAUAAAUAAAUUAAUUAAUUAAUAUAAAUAUUAUUUUUAUGAUAAUAUAUUUAUACUUAAAUUUUAUUAUAUAAUAUAAAAUAAUUAAUUUGAUAUAUUAUUAAGUUUAUUAAAUUUAUUAUUUAUAUAUUAAUAUUUAAUUAUUUAUUUUAUAUUAAGUAUUAUGAAUUGAGCUCCUAUGCUUUUAAAAGUACUAAGUUAUUUGUACUUGUAGAUUUUUAGCCAUUGGAUUAAGAGAUAUGCGGUUANCCCAAAUACAUCCAAACAUAAAUUUAUCCUCUAGAAUUUCCCAAAUACAUCCAAACAUAAAUUUACAAUUGUUCUAUUUUAUACUGGAAUAUUUCUUGUUCUCGGGAAUAAUAAACACAGCCUAAGUCCCCUCUCCACUGCGUUUCAACUAAGGGGUUAUUUGAUUGGAUAUAGUUAUAAAUAUAAUGUAGUUUUUUUUUUUAGUAAUAGGUAGCACGCUACCCGCUUCGUUUAUUUCAUUUAGAAAUAAAUUUAGCUGAAAAUGUGAAUCAACUAGGAUUCGAACUUGGAUUUCGAGUACCAACCACCAAGCCCUUUACCACUUGCUCUAAGGACGGUCAAUUAUAAAUAUAAUGUAGUUAAAAAUAUAAUAGUUAUAAUUACACAUAAUUUAUUUAAUUUUGUAUUGAUGCAACUAUUACAGUUGUAUUUCUUCGGUUUGGUAAUGUGAAACUAAUAGUUGUGUUUGUGAAUCUCGUCAUAUUUUCAUAUAGAAUAGUGAGAUUACUCUUACUAUACAUAGAAUAAUUGUAUAAAUUUAUUAAUCGUUUAAACUAAAUAUCUAUAAAUAAAUAAGUGGAUAUAUGUAUAUGCUUCUAUAUUUUUCAAUAAUUUUAAACUUAUCAAUCGACACAUAUAAAAUUUUUAAUAUAUUUAAUUUUAAUAUAUAAAUUGAACUUUAAAACUUUAAACGAUUCUCUCAUUUUUUAUAAAAUUUAAUAAUUAUAAUUAAUUAAAAUUUAUUAAGUUAACAUACACAAUCACAUUCAAUAAAAAUUUAGAAAAAAAACUUUUUUUAUAUUUUAAAUAAAACUAAUUUUAAAUUUUUUUAAUUUUUAACACAUAAU
Molecule: long non-coding RNA, 1292 nt
Filed under: Ananas comosus (pineapple)
Lineage: Eukaryota; Viridiplantae; Streptophyta; Magnoliopsida; Poales; Bromeliaceae
Description: long non-coding RNA (ACOM_LNC004495)
Source: RNAcentral